GUAGGUGGCAAGCGUUGUCCGGAAUUAUUGGGCGUAAAGCGCGCGCAGGCGGUCCUUUAAGUCUGAUGUGAAAGCCCACGGCUCAACCGUGGAGGGUCAUUGGAAACUGGGGGACUUGAGUACAGAAGAGGAAAGCGGAAUUCCAAGUGUAGCGGUGAAAUGCGUAGAGAUUUGGAGGAACACCAGUGGCGAAGGCGGCUUUCUGGUCUGUAACUGACGCUGAGGCGCGAAAGCGUGGGGAGCAAACAGGGAUUAGAUACCCUGGUAGUCCACGCCGUAAACGAUGAGUGCUAAGUGGUAGGGGGUUUCCCGCCCCUUAGUGCUGCAGCUAACGCAUUAAGCACUCCGCCUGGGGAGUACGGCCGCAAGGCUG
Molecule: ribosomal RNA, 373 nt
Filed under: uncultured organism
Description: partial 16S ribosomal RNA
Rfam family: Bacterial small subunit ribosomal RNA
Source: RNAcentral